This 512-nucleotide small RNA is filed under the name Pongo abelii (Sumatran orangutan). Its description in RNAcentral is "retained intron". The record is from RNAcentral. Lineage: Eukaryota; Metazoa; Chordata; Mammalia; Primates; Hominidae.
AAUGUAAUGGAAGUAGGAUUUGUCAGCACAGUGAGGGGUUGGCUGAUAGACUUUCCUCAGGUGAACUCUGCCCUUCUAAUGGUUGCCUGUUUCCUACUUCUCCCAGGCAGUAGACCCAGGCCUGCCAUCUGUGAAGCAAGAGCCACCUGACCCUGAGGAGGACAAGGAGGAGAACAAGGAUGACUCUGCCUCCAAAUUGGCCCCAGAGGAAGAGGCAGGAGGGGCUGGCACACCCGUGAUCACGGAGAUUUUCAGCCUGGGUGGAACCCGCUUCCGAGAUACAGCAGUCUGGUUGCCAAGGUGUGCCCCACACAGUGAGGGGUGGGGAAGGAGUGGGCGUUGGCCAGAUGUGGGCCCUGAGUUUUGAAAGUAUAGCCAGCAGUUUGGCUUGGUGUGGUGGGAGGUAAAGGCCCAUACCCACUAUGCUGAUCACAAUUAAUGAGGGGCAUGUGUGUAGGACCCUAGAGAUUUCUCCUGAGAUCCAGCCCAAUAACAUUCCAGGUUAGGACUCU